GUCAGAUUCCUCUGAACAAAACCUCACUUCUGUGCCAAGCUGUGCUUUGGGACUUGGUGCUUUUGAGGCAGGUUGGAGACUGACUGCUGUGCACUGAUGAUCCAGGCAAAACCACUGCCCCACAGAUGGCUGCCCUGCUCUAGUCACCCCUGGGAACAGAAUUACAGUUCCAGCUGGAAAAGAGAAAUGUGAGAUACAAAAACACAAGCAAGAGUGGAAGCAACAAGGACAAGUAGGUACAUUGGAAGAAGGAGCUAUAAAAGUAUGAUAUUCACACAAAAGGCAGAACUAAGGUGUGUCAAGUAAUCUGUCAUAAGCAAGUAGCUGUUCAGGAAUGGCAAUUCUGGUAGCACCAAGGUCCAUGCUAGAAGCCUUAUAAUGAGACUGCAGCAUAGAGGAUAUUAUUGAUACUUCAAGGUUCUUCCUAAGCAUCCCUGUGCAAGUGGAUUCUCUUCCAGGAGAGUUUAUAGGAAACAUGGAGUACAGGGUAGCAGCUGUUGCUUCAGAGAAGACCUCAGUGUGUUGUGCAGGCAUUGUCUAAAAUAGAAACAUUUGGAAACAUCUGC
Molecule: long non-coding RNA, 566 nt
Organism: Agelaius phoeniceus (red-winged blackbird)
Lineage: Eukaryota; Metazoa; Chordata; Aves; Passeriformes; Icteridae
Source: RefSeq, a predicted model, not a curated record